RNAcentral lists this ribosomal RNA (1359 nucleotides) under Chama gryphoides. RNAcentral's name for it is "eukaryotic LSU rRNA". It matches the Rfam family "Eukaryotic large subunit ribosomal RNA", at positions 683 to 1866 of the family's 3401-position model. The record is from RNAcentral. Lineage: Eukaryota; Metazoa; Mollusca; Bivalvia; Venerida; Chamidae.
UGCGCGAGUCGCUGGGCUCUUACGAACCCCAGAGGCGAAGCGAAAGCAAAGACCGGACUAGAGCCGGUUCAGGCAUGAUCGCGCCCGUUCAGUCGGGCGCGCGCAAUGCCGGCCUGUGUCAAUAACGGCCCCUUCGGGGGCCGGAGAGGCAGAGCCAGAGCGCACACGUUGGGACCCGAAAGAUGGUGAACUAUGUCUGAGCGGGGCGAAGUCAGGGGAAACCCUGAUGGAGGCCCGAAGCGCAUCUGACGUGCAAAUCGAUCGCCAGACUUGGAUAUAGGGGCGAAAGACUAAUCGAACCAUCUAGUAGCUGGUUCCCUCCGAAGUUUCCCUCAGGAUAGCUGGCACACGAGGAAACAGUUUUAUCCGGUAAAGAGAAUGAUUAGAGGUCUUGGGGACUUGUCGGUCCUCAGCCUAUUCUCAAACUUUAAAUGGGUGAGACGGGGCCGCUCGCUUAAACAGAAAUGUGGAGCGGUCCCACGAAUGCAAGUGCGCCAAGUGGGCCACUUUUGGUAAGCAGAACUGGCGCUGUGGGAUGAACCAAACGCCCGGUUAAGGCGCCCGAUGCGGACGCUCAUGAGACACCAUGAAGGGUGUCGGUCGGUAUAGACAGCAGGUCGGUGGCCAUGGAAGUCGGCACCCGCUAAGGAGUGUGUAACAACUCACCUGCCGAAUCGUCCGGCCCUGAAAAUGGAUGGCGCUGAAGCGUCGAGCCUAUACCGGGCCGUCGCCUCAAUACUUGGUCCCAGGGAGCCAAGAGGCGACGAGUAGGAGGAGCGUCGCGGUGAGCGCAGAAGCCUGGGCCGUGAGGCCGGGUGGAGCCGCCGCGAGUGCAGAUCUUGGUGGUAGUAGCAAAUAUUCAAACGAGAGCUUUGAAGACUGAAGCGGAGAAGGGUUCCACGCGAACAGCAGUUGAGCGUGGGUUAGUCGGUGCUGAGCCACAGGGGAAGCCCGCCUUGAAAAGUGGCGGAGUCGGGGCCUUGUUGAACAACAAGCAAAACACAAACGAAAAGUUUAUGGCAAGCAAACUUUAUCAGCCCCACGCUUUCUCGGCGAAAGGGAAUCCGGUUAAUAUUCCGGAACCUGGUAUCGGAGAGCGCCCCGCGGCUGGUCCGCGGGGUACGACUGAACGGCAACGGAACCUGCCAUCGAGACGCCAGUCGCUGUCCCGGGAAGAGUUUUCUUUUUCUUUGUGAGGGUCGGACUCCCUGGAAACGGUUCGCCGGAAGAUAGGGAUGUUGUACCCGUAAAGCGGCGCGGCUCUCGCGCCGUCCGGUGCGCAGCGACAGGCCCGUGAAAAUCGGUGGCAGUCUCAGUGUUGCUCCCGUGCCAGACCGUACCCGAAUCCGCAACAGGUCU